This 427-nucleotide ribosomal RNA is filed under the name uncultured bacterium. RNAcentral describes it as "partial 16S ribosomal RNA". It matches the Rfam family "Bacterial small subunit ribosomal RNA", at positions 355 to 774 of the family's 1533-position model. The record is from RNAcentral.
UGGGGAAUAUUGGACAAUGGGCGAAAGCCUGAUCCAGCCAUGCCGCGUGUGUGAAGAAGGUCUUCGGAUUGUAAAGCACUUUAAGUUGGGAGGAAGGGCAGUAAGCUAAUACCUUGCUGUUUUGACGUUACCGACAGAAUAAGCACCGGCUAACUCUGUGCCAGCAGCCGCGGUAAUACAGAGGGUGCAAGCGUUAAUCGGAAUUACUGGGCGUAAAGCGCGCGUAGGUGGUUUGUUAAGUUGGAUGUGAAAGCCCCGGGCUCAACCUGGGAACUGCAUCCCAAACUGGCAAGCUAGAGUACGGUAGAGGGUGGUGGAAUUUCCUGUGUAGCGGUGAAAUGCGUAGAUAUAGGAAGGAACACCAGUGGCGAAGGCGACCACCUGGACUGAUACUGACACUGAGGUGCGAAAGCGUGGGGAGCAAACA